GCUUGUCUCAAAGAUUAAGCCAUGCAUGUCUCAGCAUAAGCUUCAACACGGUGAAACUGCAAAUGGCUCAUUAAAGCAGUUACAAUUUAUUUGAUGGUCACUGUUACAUGGAUAACCGUAGUAAUUCUAGAGCUAAUACAUGCGUAAAGGGUGCUGAAAGGCAUCUGUGUUUAUUAGAUACAACCAACCCCUCGCGGGUUUAGGUGAUUCAUAAUAACCGAACGAACCGCGUUCAGCGGUGAUUCUUUCUACAUUAUUCCCUAUCAGCUUUCGUUUUUUGUGUAGUGGACAAAAAAGGCUUUGACGGGUAACGGAGAAUUAGGGUUCGAUUCCGGAGAGGGAGCCUGAGAGAUGGCUACCACAUCCAAGGAAGGCAGCAGG
RNAcentral lists this ribosomal RNA (381 nucleotides) under uncultured Bicosoecida. RNAcentral's name for it is "partial small subunit ribosomal RNA". It matches the Rfam family "Eukaryotic small subunit ribosomal RNA", at positions 30 to 432 of the family's 1831-position model. The record is from RNAcentral. Lineage: Eukaryota; Bigyra; Bicosoecida.